Molecule: RNA transcript, 5439 nt
Organism: Chelonia mydas (Green sea turtle)
Lineage: Eukaryota; Metazoa; Chordata; Testudines; Cheloniidae
Gene: TTC19
Gene name: tetratricopeptide repeat domain 19
Exons: 13
Source: RefSeq, a predicted model, not a curated record
GACCGAGCGGCGGGCCGGGCAUGUUGGCGGCGCUGCGCCGGGGGUCGGGCCUGCUGGCGGCCGCGGGGAGACGCUGCUCCGGGGCGCGCCUGCCGGCCGGGCGGGAGCCCGCCUGGGGAGCGGGGUCCCUGCGGGGGCGGAGCGGCCCCGGCCCCGGCGGCGUCCUGGCCGCCCUGGCAGCUUUCUCCUUGUUCUCUAAAAAUGCUGAGGAAGAGAGGGAGACAAAAGAAGGGGAGAGUGCAGGAACUGAAGACACCAUUAUAUUCCUUUUGAAGAAAGCCAAGCUCAGCAUCAUGAAGGGGGAGCUUGAGGAAGCAGAGCGGAUUCUGCACGAAGCCAUCCGACUCUCCCAUCAGUCAGACAACAAGAGAGCCAUCAUCUAUACCUAUGACCUGAUGGCAAACCUUGCGUUCCUGAGGGGUCAGCUGGACAGCGCAGAGAAGCUCUUCAAAGCAGCAAUGAGCUUCUUGCUUGCUGGCGACAUGAAGCAGGAUGACAAUGCCAUCAUUGAAAUGUCCCUCAAGCUGGCCAGUAUCUAUGCUGCUCAGAACCAACACAAGCUGGCUCUUGCUGGCUACGAGUUCUGCAUCCUGACCCUGGAUGAGAAGAUAGCCAAAUACAAGGACUUGCCUGAGGAUGUUCUCCCAGCAGAGGAAAGAGCCAACACGUAUCUCCUGCUUGGUCUGUGCCUGGACUCGUACGGUCGCUACCUCCUGGCCAACAAACAGCUGCCUCGGGCCCAAAGAAUGUAUGAGAGGGCACUUCAGAUCUCCAAGGAGGUCCAGGGAGAGACCCAUCCCCAGACUGUGGUACUGAUGAAUGACUUAGCAACUGUGCUGGAUGCCCAGGGGCUCUAUGAUGAGGCAUAUACACAUGGGAAGAGGGCAUCUGAAUUGGCAAAGCAGACUGAGCACCCUGAGGAGCACAUGGUGCUGAAUAACCUUGCAGGAAUUCUGAUGCACAAAGAAGACUUUCUGCAAGCAAAACAGGUGUACAAAAAAGCCCUGAAACAGGCAGAGCUGAAAGGAGACACUGCAUCCAGGCAGCACAUCCAGGAGGAACUAGCAGAGCUGGCCAGGAGGAGAAAGCACUCAAACUGAACAUAUGAUGCACAAAUGAGGGAGGCUUGAAGUAUCUUGGGCUGAAUGAACUGCUGAAGGCAAGGUGGUGGAUUAUACAAAGCACAGGAAGACUGGGACCUGUUGCCAUUUUCAGUGGGAACUAAAAUAGGGACACCCAAACUUUGCCCAAGUGAGUGCCAUACUGAUGACUUGCCAAGAGCAUAAUCACUACCACCACCUCAAUGCAUUUGAUUGGUAUAUCUUAAAGCAAUUGACCAUGGAGGUAAGUAUCAAUAUUUCUAUUAUACAGAGAAUCUGAAGCAUGAAGUGGUUAAGUGACACGCACAAGGUCAGUGCCAGAGUCAGGAACAGAACCCAAGGCCUCCUGACUCUUAGUCCUCUGCCUUAGCCACUCAACCAUGUUGCCUCUGAAAGUUAGGAGGAGAUUCAAUUUUCAUCACUCUGGGGCCUAAACCAGUUGAUUCUUUUAAAGCACAUUAGUUGCGAUAAGAAACCCAAAAAUUGUAUUAUGAGAGGUGGUUUGCACAUAUGGAGUCUUUCACCCAUGCCUCUCCAAGCGCUUUACAUAGUGAAUUUCAACAUCUCUGGGAAGUAGGUAGGUACACACCCAUCUGCAAAGAGGGCAGACAGAGAGUGGCUAAGUGAUUUGCCCACAGUAGCAGAAUCAGGAACAGAAUUUAUGAGUCUUGACUCCUACUACACUGCUCUUGCCAUUAGACAAUACUGCCUCACUUCAGAGAUUAGAGCUGCUGCUGACCACUCAGAGAUACAAGAUAAGAUAUAGUAAGUUCAGUUUUUAGACAUACCUCUGUUCAGCAGGCUCAGUUCUUUGGGAAAGCAAUAUAAUAUUGUCUUGUUUCUCAUGUACAACUGGGACCUGAGGCGGUGAGAUUGGCUCAUAGGGUUCUGAAGAGACAUGACUUCUCUCUGGGGACUUCCCAGGUCUAAAUUUUUAAUACAAAAAAGAGGUACUCUUCAAAUGUGUAACCAGCACAGUUAAAAACAAACUCCAGUAACCAAUGAUCAAGACUAUAUUGCUUAUAUAUCAUCUAAGUCUAUGGUAUCCCUUGGGAUAAAAGAUAUUACAGAAACAAGACUUCAGACUAUCCACAUAAAUUAUUAAUUUCUAUGAGCGCUACAUGUUUACGUCUCUUCCUUCCCUCAAAGCUUGGAGAUCAAGUGCAGAUAAAUCUAGUAUAAAUGUGUAGAUGGCUAUAAUCUACAAUGCAGCACCAGUCAGUGUUUAUCACUUUCCUUACUACACUGUUAGAAAGUUAAGCCAGAUAUUCCUUCUAUUUGUUGAAGAAAGUAGACCAAAAAUUUAAGUUGCCUUUGGACAGCUAAGAAAGGUUGAAGGAUAAACCUACUUCAAAUCAAUUAAGCCUAAUCCACCGUUAAUUUUUAUUGGCUACUUAUACAGGCAUUGGCUGAAUUUACAGUUAAACCGAAAAAGCCACCACUUCACCUUGCUCUGGAUUUGUCAGAGAGAUUUUCAGGAGACACUCUGGCACUUGGCCGUUGAUGGUGAACAGACUGUGCCUCGGGGCUGUAGCGGUUUGAAGCCUUUGCCCGAGUAGGGGUAGGAGCUGAAGCAGAAGCCGAGUUCUGGAAUGUACUAGUCGGAGGCUGCAGGGAUGCUUGUGAGGCUGCUUGGUUUCUAGCAAAGUCUUGUGUAAUAAUUUGCUGUUUGGGGGCAAAAAAACAAACAAACAAACAAAAAGAGUGGUAAAAAAUCUGGCCUACAUUCUCUCAUUUUAGGAACAAAUGCAACUGGCAUCACACGCACCAAACGCGAUACAAUCUGAACUUCAGUCAUGUGAUAUGUAACAUGUCAUGGUUUCACUACCAAUAUCGUAACCUAUUAUAACUCUCAAAUAAAAUGUAGCAUUUCAAUGUUUUGAAAAUAUAAAAUCAAUCCCAAAGUUACUUGCAAAAUUAACCUACACAGAUAUGGUCAGCAAGUGUGAUCAGACGAUGGGUCCUAGGUACAUGUCCGAUCCCUUCUGCCUGAGAGGAAGGCAGUGGAGGCUGCUGUGGAGAAGGAGAUUCCUGUUGUGUCCUAUAUCGGUGAACUGGACCUUCAUACUGCCUGUUGGGAUCACCUAGUUUCCAAAAAAAAAAAAAAAAAAAAAAAAAAAAAAAAAAAAAAGGCAUAUCACUCUAAGAAGACAUUUCUGAAGUUUAAGCUUUGAGAGUUUUUUGAAUAUUUAUAAGGAGAUAUAUGAAACAUUUCUGCAUGAAAUUUUAAGUAGCUUGUCUAAUACAGCUUUCUUUCCUUAGUAUUUAGACCAGUGGGACGCAUCCACACAAUAUAUAUAUUACCUGUAUGACCCUGAGGAUAUCACAUGGGCCGUAGCUGUGUGCUGAUUGGGCCGCAAGCGGCCCACGGGUUAAGAACCACUGAUUUAGACCCUUUGAUUCAAACAGGCAACAGAAAGUUAAGUACUAGUCUACAACAGCAUUGCAUCCAUAUUUUUGGACUGAUUUAAUUUCACUGUACUUCUUUGACAGCAAACUGAGCUGACGUAACUUGCACCUCAGUCUCUUUCACCAAAAUAUCACAAUUAAGUAUAUGCUCUAGAAAAGCUUCUGAAGAUUCAAGACUGUUUUUAGUUGCAACUUAAAGGCUGCUAAUGUACUUUAUAUACGAGUUUAAGAAACGUACAUGAUGCGUAGCUGAGCAGCAGGAUCCAGAGGGGUAAUUACACUUGUCCCAUUGGUUCCUUGGAAAAUACUGGGCCUUUGCUGCAGCAUGUUCUCUUGGGUUCUAACAGAAGGAGAAGGUGAGCGAACGUAUCCAUGACUGCCAGGUCUACCAGGUUGCUCUGUACCUUAAGUGUGUGGAGAAAGUUAGUGGGGGGGGGGGAAAUAUAACAGGCUGUUAUAACGUGUAAUAAGUGUGUAUAUAACAAUGCACAAGCAAGUAUCAUAAUGCUAUCGCCUCCUCCACACCCUUUUUCAUAUGUCUAUGCUGCUGUCAGGCAUAGACCAUAUUUAAAGCUUUCUAAAGAACAGCAUCCUCCAAUCUGCACUGCACUGAGUGAAAUGCCAAUUGUAACAGGACUGCCUCGGUUGAUUCCAUCCUUCAGAUUCUACAUCAUUACAACUGAACAAAGAUAAAAAGAACAUACUACCUACCACUGUCAAUUACAGCAAAACCUCCACAUCUUAGGAAUCACCCAUUUAGAUCAUACUAACAAUAGGUUACACAGCACUGUUUUUUAUUUUUUAGAAGUCAAAACAAAAGUGCUAAUGGUGGUUGUGGAAACUGAUUAGUUAUAUUUUGUAUAAACAAGACUGAUCCAAAUGUGGCAAUGUACACUCACCAGGCCGAAGGUAGUGCUCAGUGGGAACUGUAGCGAUUCUCUCCCUCUCUCGUUCCCUCUCCCGCUCCCUUUCACGUUCCCUCUCCCUCUCCUUCUCCCGUUCCCUCUCCCGCUCCCUCUCAGCGUUGGCAGCUGCAGAAGCAGCCAGAUGCGUAGGGUGUCCUAUAAGAUGCACAGGAGAUAGGAGAGCUUCAAACAGCAGUGAAAAGCGUAAGACAAACACUGAAAAGCUCAGCAGUGUGUAUUACUUGACACACCCUUGAUGUAAGUUGAAGCCAGAAAAGAAUAUUUAUGAAUGCCCCAAACCACUUUGAUUUCAUUGAUAAUUAUACACUGGACUAUGAUGGUUGAACCCUAAAAUUCACUGUGAGAGAUGGGGUUGGGAAACAACCUUCCCAAGUCACUCCACUGCUUUAAUACACGGUGAUAGGAGCUAUCCAGUCGGCAGAUAAUAGGAGCCAAAUUCCACCCUCGAACAGAAAUUAAUGGGUUCAUGUAUCAGAUGACAGAAUUUGGCCCACUGUAUUUAACAAAAACACCAAACUUUUUAUUUUUCUAAUUGUUUUCUCUUCUUCAGGGCUUCCAGCAGAUAAAUACAAAACCUAUCACAAUGGGGCCCCGACCCUGUCUUGCAUACCUCUGGCUGCUACUGAAACAAUAAAGUUAACAAUCAUCUCUCCCAUCACCCAAAGUGAAUGGCACGGGGGUUAGCUAUUGGAACAGCAGCAAAACACUUAUUCAGUGACUAGUGGAUAGAGAGGGUCACUAUCCUAGAAUGUCAAUGGAUUAGGGAUAAUACAGAACAAUCAGGACUUUUACCUGGUGACAUAGAUGCAGGGUUGUAAGGCCUCGGAGGGAAUGUGAGCUGGGUGCCAGGGAUAUAAGUGAUUCUCUCCAUAGGAGGGGUACUUGUUCCUCCUGGAUGAGGGACUAAGAUAGUGGGAGCCAUAUUGUUCAGGUCAAUAAUUCCUGUUCAAAAGUUAUAAUGGAAUUAGGAUAUACUCCCUAAUCUCAACAGUUUACAACUACUU